This 884-nucleotide long non-coding RNA is filed under the name Lathyrus oleraceus (garden pea). RNAcentral describes it as "Pisum sativum (pea) long non-coding RNA (PSAT_LNC040929)". The record is from RNAcentral. Lineage: Eukaryota; Viridiplantae; Streptophyta; Magnoliopsida; Fabales; Fabaceae.
UUUUUCUUAAUUUUCUUAAAAUAAUAUUUCUGAAAAAUAUAGUUUUUUCUAUCCUCUUUCCCUUUACCAUUUUAGAUUCAUUACCUAGAGAAAAUCAAAUAAAAGAAUCCUUAAUUAGUCUCAACUUUCAAACAUGAAAGUCUUUGCAAAGUAUUUUUGAUCUGAAUUUGUCCUCAAUUAUAAGGUUUUUUUUUUCAUCUUCAUUGAUUCCAAAUUAGGAAACAUAUAUAUACACUACCCUACAUAUAUAAUUAACAACACUUUGCAUUCCCUCUGCUGGUAAUAUUCAGUUGCAUGAUAAAAAAGUACCAAUCUAUAAUAAUUACCUUCUGAAAUUUAAUCAGUUUGAGUCAGGGAUCUGGCUAAUUAUAGUUCAUCUGUUACAACACAAAACUUAAAAAUGGAAAAGCCCUAAAAAGUGUUGUCAAUUAUCAUCUAGUAUACUUUAUUUGAUUGAAACAAAAACAGAAAGAAAAAAAAAAGAACUAUACAUGCAUAAGGAAAAGGAGAAAAAAAGAAGGAAGACACAUGAACAUGAUUUUACCUGUUUGUGAUGUAGGUUCUUUGAUCAAAUAAACUAAAAGGAAAGUAACUUUAUCCUUCAGAAGCUCUUUUUUUCUCUCCAAGUGAGAAAGUAGUCUAAGCUAAGAGAAGAAACCCUAAUUGAAAGAGAGGAAGUUGAGAUGAGUGAUAGUGAGAGGCAUAGAGAGAGAUUGAGAUGUGAAAGGUGAUAUAAGUUAGUGGAAAAAGGUGAUAGCUAGUAGAAGGGAAAACAGAAACAGCAUUGAGUGGAUGGAGAAGGAAAGGAUGCAAAAGACAAAGGUAAUAAAUGGAGGUAUAUAGACUAGAGAAUAACCUAUGAUGUUGUUGUAUAUAGACUAAUA